Molecule: ribosomal RNA, 1244 nt
Filed under: metagenome
Description: bacterial LSU rRNA
Rfam family: Bacterial large subunit ribosomal RNA
Source: RNAcentral
UGAAUACGAGAUGCUACGGCGUCGAAGCAGUCUAUGUCAUACUUCCAAGAAAAGCUUGCACUGUCAUAAACAAAUAAUGCCUGUACCAUAACCGACACAGGUGGGUAGGUAGAGUAUACUAAGGGGCGCGAGAUAACUCUCUCUAAGGAACUCGGCAAAAUGACUCCGUAACUUCGGGAGAAGGAGUGCCUUAUUUAUAAGGUUGCAAUAACAAGAUCCAAGCAACUGUUUACCAAAAACACAGGUCUCCGCUAAGUCGUAAGACGAUGUAUGGGGGCUGACGCCUGCCCAGUGCCAGAAGGUUAAAGAAGUUGGUUAGCAUCCGCGAAGCUGAUAACUGAAGCCCUGGUGAACGGCGGCCGUAACUAUAACGGUCCUAAGGUAGCGAAAUUCCUUGUCGGGUAAGUUCCGACCCGCACGAAAGGCGUAAUGAUUUGGAUACUGUCUCGGAGAGGGGCUCGGUGAAAUAGACUUGUCUGUGAAGAUGCGGACUACCUGCACCAGGACAGAAAGACCCUAUGAAGCUUUACUGUAACCUGAAAUUGAAAUUGGACUUUACUUGCGCAGUAUAGGUGGGAGGCGUUGAGAAUAUUCUUGCGGGAUUAUUGGAGCCAUCAGUGAGAUACCACUCUUGUAAUGUUAGAUUUCUAACUUUGUAUCAUUAUCUGGUCAAAGAACAGUUUCAGGCGGGCAGUUUGACUGGGGCGGUCGCCUCCUAAACGGUAACGGAGGCGCACAAAGGUUUCCUCUGAACGGGUAGAAAUCGUAUCUAGAGUGUAAAGGCAUAAGGAAGCUUGACUGUGAGACCUACAAGUCGAGCAGGGACGAAAGUCGGUCUUAGUGAUCUGACGGUGCUGAGUGGAAAGGCCGUCACUCAACGGAUAAAAGUUACUCUAAGGAUAACAGGCUGAUCUCCCCCAAGAGUUCACAUCGACGGGGAGGUUUGGCACCUCGAUGUCGGCUCAUCGUAUCCUGGGGCGGUAGUACGUCCCAAGGGUUGGGCUGUUCGCCCAUGAAAGCGGUACGCGAGCUGGGUUCAGAACGUCGUGAGACAGUUCGGUCCAUAUCCGGUGUAGGCGUUAGAAUAUUGAGAGGAGCCUUCUUUAGUACGAGAGGACCGAGAAGGACAUACCUCUGGUGUACCAGUUAUCGUGCCAACGGUAAACGCUGGGUAGCUAUGUGUGGAGUGGAUAACCGCUGAAAGCAUCUAAGUGGGAAGCCCACCUCAAGAUAAGUAUUCUCAU